AAUUUUUUUCAAAAUAUUAGUUUAUAUAUUUUAUGAUUAAAUAUAUGUCACCCUCAUGUAAUGUUAAUGAGUUUGUGAAUACCCCUUAAUUUGUUUUUUGAUCUCCCUCUUAUAACAUCACGAUUCUCUCUGUCUGGCCCUUGAGUUGACUAUUUCAACCCAAAAUCUUAUUUGAAGUCUAUGUGGUAUGAUUUCUUUAAUCUACAAGGAUUUGUUAAACAUUUAUCCUUGUUGUGUCUUUUUUUUUACCUUUUUAUUUGUCCUCCUUGAAAAUUAGGGUUUAUUAA
This 287-nucleotide long non-coding RNA is filed under the name Lathyrus oleraceus (garden pea). Its description in RNAcentral is "Pisum sativum (pea) long non-coding RNA (PSAT_LNC018112)". Lineage: Eukaryota; Viridiplantae; Streptophyta; Magnoliopsida; Fabales; Fabaceae. The record is from RNAcentral.